GAUGAACGCUAGCUGCAUGCCUAAUACAUGCAAGUCGAGCGGAAAGACCAUCGGAUUCUUCCUCUUACUUUGGCUGCGGACGGGUGCGUAACACGAAGAUAUCCUCCCUAUACGCAUCAGAUAACUUCAAGCUACCGGAGCUAAUACCAGUACAUAUUUUCAACCGACUGGGACAUUUGUAUAGGACGAUUUUUCUAUCGCUUAUAGAUGGAUCCGCGCCGCAUUAGCUAGUUGGUAAGGUAACGGCUUACCAAGGCAACGAUGCGUAGCCGAUCUGAGAGGGGGAUCGGCCACACUGGAACUGAAACACGGUACAGACUACUACGGGAGGGAGCAGUAGGGAAACUUCCGCUAGGGGCGGAAGCUUGACGGAGACACGCCGCGUGAGUGAUGAAGGUCUUCGGAUCGUAAUACUCUGUUAUUAGGGAAGAACAAAUGUGUAAGUAACUAUGCACGUCUUGACGGUACCUAAUCAGAAAGCCACGGCUAACUACGUG
Molecule: ribosomal RNA, 497 nt
Filed under: uncultured bacterium
Lineage: Bacteria
Description: partial 16S ribosomal RNA
Rfam family: Bacterial small subunit ribosomal RNA
Source: RNAcentral